Molecule: ribosomal RNA, 365 nt
Filed under: uncultured bacterium
Lineage: Bacteria
Description: bacterial SSU rRNA
Rfam family: Bacterial small subunit ribosomal RNA
Source: RNAcentral
UUGUUCGGAAUCACUGGGCGUAAAGCGUGCGUAGGCUGUUUCGUAAGUCGUGUGUGAAAGGCGCGGGCUCAACCCGCGGACGGCACAUGAUACUGCGAGACUAGAGUAAUGGAGGGGGAACCGGAAUUCUCGGUGUAGCAGUGAAAUGCGUAGAUAUCGAGAGGAACACUCGUGGCGAAGGCGGGUUCCUGGACAUUAACUGACGCUGAGGCACGAAGGCCAGGGGAGCGAAAGGGAUUAGAUACCCCUGUAGUCCUGGCAGUAAACGGUGCACGCUUGGUGUGCGGGGAAUCGACCCCCUGCGUGCCGGAGCUAACGCGUUAAGCGUGCCGCCUGGGGAGUACGGUCGCAAGAUUAAAACUCAA